UGCCCCACACUGUCCCCUUCCCCCUCUGCAGUCCUCCAGCCUGCUGGAGAAAGGCCUGAAGGUGCCGCUUCCACGGGGCUGGGCAGGAGCAGAGAGGAUUUCUUCCCGGUCCUGCAGAGACGGCGGCUGCCCAGGACCUGUGUGACACCCCCGGGGACAGGCUGGACGCUUUCGUGAAGCACAGCCUUCAGCCCCAGGGGGACUGGAAGGACGAAGUGAAGGAUGCCUGGCAGAGGAUUGAGCAGUUCUUGAGGGAUCAGUGCUUCCGUGAUGAGCUGAUCCUGGACCAGGAGGUCAGGGCGCUGAAGGUGGUCAAGACAGGUGGAGACGUGGAACUGCCCAGCAGGCACUGGAAGGGAAUGUUCUGGGACAAACCACCAACGUUUCUAGCCAGGUGAGGAAACUGAAAUUCAGGAAAGCCAAGGGUGGUGGUGAUCAAGAUCACGCAGCUAGCGAGUAACAAAGCUGAAAUGCAAUCUCGUGUAUGUCUGACCAGAGGCCAACCUCAACCACUACGUCGUCGUGCUGCCUCCAGUAGAGGAAAAUGGGAGUCUCAGGACCACCUCCCAACUCCCUGUGCAAAAGGAAAGGCCAAGACCGGAGGCUGAGCCAUGCAACACCCCCUUUAGAAUGAGUAACUGUUACUAACAUCAUGCAUUAGCCAGAUUCCCCAAAGAAAGCUAGAAGGCCUCAGGUAUCCUUGGGGACUACCCCCACAGAUCAUGCAUAAGGAAAUUCUUUGCCGGCCUCCCAUUCACAAGGAACGUGCACAAGCACAGCUUUAGGUCUGCAGUCUAAAUCUAGCUCCCAGAACCAAAGUCUGUUCAACUCCACACUGCUGAUGGCGACUCCAAGCUUGUCUUCCCAGGUGCAGGACAGAGACAGGAUGAGAUCAGUCAUUCCUCGGCAUACCCAGGGACAUCUGCAUAAUUGAUUCUUCC
Molecule: non-coding RNA, 941 nt
Organism: Microcebus murinus (gray mouse lemur)
Lineage: Eukaryota; Metazoa; Chordata; Mammalia; Primates; Cheirogaleidae
Source: RefSeq, a predicted model, not a curated record